Marmota monax (woodchuck) is the source of this 895-nucleotide long non-coding RNA. RefSeq lists it as uncharacterized. The transcript is spliced from 3 exons. The record is from RefSeq and is a predicted model, not a curated record. Lineage: Eukaryota; Metazoa; Chordata; Mammalia; Rodentia; Sciuridae.
UGGAUGUGAGGGCAGAAGAGAGCCCGAUUGCCCGAGCUGGGAGCUCUGUAGACAAAUUCUACUACAUGGCGGGUCCCACCCAGCCUUGCUCAGGGGAUCUGGGAAGCUGGUGAAAGCGAGGAGUGGCGACAGGCUCUGCUCCUGUCUCCUGGCCUCUUCCAAGUCCAGGAAAGCAAGCCUUGCUCAUUGCUGCUUCUCUCCUGCCUGCUGACCUUGAAGAGAUCGCUAGAGCAACUUCAUGGACCCUAAUGACAAGGGCCAUUGGUAGAAGGUAACACACAGACACGAACCCUCAUCAUACCUGAGCCGUUGUCAUGUGUUAUAGUCCCAGCUACUCAGGAGUCUGAGGCAGGAGGAUUGCUUUAGCCCAGGAGUUCAUGGCAAGUCUGGGCAACACUGCAAGACCCCAUCUCAAAAAAGAAGAAGGAGAAGGAGAAAGGGGAAAAAAGAAAUCAUGCCUUUUUUUCCCCUAAACUUUUCAAAACUUAUUGCUAUAAAGUUGUGCCUACAGUUUUUAAAAAACAUAUGUUCUGCCCUUCAAUAGAUGGAUGAAUGGAUAAAAAAAUGUGGCAUUUAUACACAAUGGAGUAUUACUCUGCAUUAAAAAAUGACAAAAUCAUGGAAUUUUCAGGGAAAUGGAUGGCAUUAGAGCAGAUUAUGCUAAGUGAAGCUAGCCAAUCCCUAAAAAACAGAUGCCAAAUGUCUUCUUUGAUAUAAGGAGAGCAACUAAGAACAGAGUAGGGAGGAAGAGCAUGAGAAGAAGAUUAACAUUAAACAUGGACGAGAGGUGGGAGGGAAAGGGAGAGAGAAGGGAAAUUGCAUGGAAAUGGAAGGAGACCCUCAUGGUUAUACAAAAUUGCAUACAAGAGGAAGUGAGGGGAAAGGGGAAAAAAAA